RNAcentral lists this long non-coding RNA (469 nucleotides) under Mytilus galloprovincialis (Mediterranean mussel). The record is from RNAcentral. Lineage: Eukaryota; Metazoa; Mollusca; Bivalvia; Mytilida; Mytilidae.
AUGUAUACCAAACAGAGUGCAUGUGUAAAUUACUAUAUAAUAGAGGGGGAAGGACCUUUUACGGGAUGUCAGGAUCAGGUGCUUUUAAGCUCAAGAUUUGACGAUUGACCCUUUCGGGAUCUGGCUGGUUUUCUUUUUUGGAAAUUCGGGAUGUCAGGAUUUUUUUUUUCUAAAUUUCCGGACCUUGAUCAGGAUUUCAUAUUUUUAAGCUCUGGAUUUUAGGAUCAUUUCGAGGUCCAAAGUGUCCACAAUUAAACUUUGCUUGAUAAUCAUCAGAUAUUUAUUUCUUCAAAAACUGAAUUAUUGCUGCUCAAUCAGACAUAUAUGCUGAAUCUUGUUGUGCAUUUAGAUUUUUAUUUUGGGCCCGGUUUUCAAAUUUAUGUCCCCAUUAAGGUUUGAAGGGUCCCAAAUUAAACUUUUGUUCGAUUUAAACUAAAAUUAUUUUUUUUGUGUUUUUUUUUUUUAAUAU